RNAcentral lists this ribosomal RNA (383 nucleotides) under uncultured eukaryote. RNAcentral describes it as "partial 18S ribosomal RNA". It matches the Rfam family "Eukaryotic small subunit ribosomal RNA", at positions 592 to 976 of the family's 1831-position model. The record is from RNAcentral.
CAAUAGCGUAUAUUAAAGUUGUUGCAGUUAAAAAGCUCGUAGUUGGAUUUCUGGUGGGAGCGAUCGGUCUGGCGCUUAGCGCGAGUACUUGCAUCGUCUCCGGCCAUCCUUGGGGAGAGUCUGUCUGGCAUUAAGUUGUCGGGCAGAGGAUCCUCAUCGUUUACUGUGAAAAAAUUAGAGGGUUCAAAGCAGGCUUAUGCCGUUGAAUAUAUUAGCAUGGAAUAAUAAGAUAGGACUUUGGUACUAUUUUGUUGGUUUGCGCACCAAAGUAAUGAUUAAUAGGGACAGUUGGGGGUAUUCGUAUUCCGUUGUCAGAGGUGAAAUUCUUGGAUUUACGGAAGACGAACUACUGCGAAAGCAUUUACCAAGGAUGUUUUCAUUAA